AUGGCACCCUGUGCAGAGGAACCCUCUGAGCCUGCUGCCUUGCCACCUGCUGGGCUUCCCCCGUUUGAGGACAUCGAAGUGCUGAAUGGGGUUGAAGGUACAGAUGCUGAGGAGGAAGAGGAAGAAGAGGAGAAUGACUUGAGUGAGCUGUCACCACUGGAAGACAUGGGAUAGUCCCCAGUAGAGGAGGCCAAGCAGCUGGGGGCACUGGCCCAAGAGUUUCUGGCCUCUGUGGAGCCUGUACCUGCACCACUCCCAGCCCCGGAAGAGUGACUGGACAUUCUGAGGAAUAGGCUGCUCAGGAAGAAGACACUGGUCCCAGCCCCUCCGGACUCCAGCUGCCUGACCAAGUGCCAGGUGGUGACAGUGCAGCUGCAGAUGUCACUGGAGAAUGGCACACGGGUGCAGGAGAAGCCUGAGCUGGCCUUCACUCUGGGAUGUCAUCCAGGCCCUGGACCUCAGUGUUCCCCUCAUGGAUGUGGGUGAGAUGGCCAUGGUCACUGCUGACUCCAAGUACUGCUACAGCCCCCAGGAGAGCAGGAGUCCCUACAUCCCCCUGCAUGCAGCGCUGUGCCUGGACGUGACCCUGAAGACAGCAGUGGAUGGACCUGACCUGGAGCUGCUCACAGGCCAGGAGCACGUGGCACUGGCCAAUCGGAAGCAUGAGUGCAGCAAUGCCCACUAUCAGUGCACAGACUUCAUGCUGGCUGCCAACUCCUAUGACCUGGCCAUCAAAGCUAUCAUCUCCAGCGCCAAAAUGGACAUGACUUUUGAGGAGGAGGAGAAGCUGGUGCAGCUGAAGGUCAAGUUUCUCAACAACCUGGCGGCCUCACAGCUAGAGUUAGACCCCUACCACGCCACCCUGUGCUCUGGCAGCCUGGUGCUUGAGCACCAAACUGAGGACAUCAAGGCGCUUUUCUGCAAGGGCAAGGUGCUGGCGCAGCAAGGUGAGUACAACGAGGCCAUCCCCAUCCUGAGGGCAGCGCUGAAGCUGGAGCCUCCCAACAAAACAAUCCACACUGAGCUUUCAAAGCUGCUGAAAAAGCACACAGUGCAGCGAAGAACAGAAACCGCCCUGUACUGGAAGAUGCUGGGCAACCCCAGCUGGCUGCCUGCCAAGUGUCCUGGCAAGGGUGCCUGGUCCAUCCCGUGGAAGUGGAUGUUUGGGGCGACUGCCAUUGCCCUGGGGGGCAUGGCUCUCUCUGUGGUCAUCGCUGCCAGGACCUGA
This is an RNA transcript of Octodon degus (degu), 1228 nucleotides long. It is a transcript of the gene named peptidyl-prolyl cis-trans isomerase FKBP8 pseudogene, with no coding region annotated. The record is from RefSeq and is a predicted model, not a curated record. NCBI's taxonomy places the organism in Eukaryota, Metazoa, Chordata, Mammalia, Rodentia, Octodontidae. The transcript has a single exon.